RNAcentral lists this ribosomal RNA (1000 nucleotides) under uncultured organism. Its description in RNAcentral is "bacterial SSU rRNA". It matches the Rfam family "Bacterial small subunit ribosomal RNA", at positions 355 to 1375 of the family's 1533-position model. The record is from RNAcentral.
UGGGGGAUAUUGCGCAAUGGGGGCAACCCUGACGCAGCAACGCCGCGUGAAGGAUGAAGGUUUUCGGAUUGUAAACUUCUUUUAUUAAGGACGAAACUUGACGGUACUUAAUGAAUAAGCUCCGGCUAACUACGUGCCAGCAGCCGCGGUAAUACGUAGGGAGCAAGCGUUGUCCGGAUUUACUGGGUGUAAAGGGUGCGUAGGCGGCUUUGCAAGUCAGAUGUGAAAUCUAUGGGCUCAACCCAUAAACUGCAUUUGAAACUGUAGAGCUUGAGUGAAGUAGAGGCAGGCGGAAUUCCCCGUGUAGCGGUGAAAUGCGUAGAGAUGGGGAGGAACACCAGUGGCGAAGGCGGCCUGCUGGGCUUUAACUGACGCUGAGGCACGAAAGCGUGGGUAGCAAACAGGAUUAGAUACCCUGGUAGUCCACGCUGUAAACGAUGAUUACUAGGUGUGGGGGGUCUGACCCCUUCCGUGCCGGAGUUAACACAAUAAGUAAUCCACCUGGGGAGUACGGCCGCAAGGUUGAAACUCAAAGGAAUUGACGGGGGCCCGCACAAGCAGUGGAGUAUGUGGUUUAAUUCGAAGCAACGCGAAGAACCUUACCAGGUCUUGACAUCCAACUAACGAAGUAGAGAUACAUUAGGUGCCCUUCGGGGAAAGUUGAGACAGGUGGUGCAUGGUUGUCGUCAGCUCGCGUCGUGAGAUGUUGGGUUAAGUCCCGCAACGAGCGCAACCCUUGCUAUUAGUUGCUACGCAAGAGCACUCUAAUAGGACUGCCGUUGACAAAACGGAGGAAGGUGGGGACGACGUCAAAUCAUCAUGCCCCUUAUGACCUGGGCUACACACGUACUACAAUGGAUGUUAACAGAGGGAAGCAAGACAGCGAUGUGGAGCAAACCCCUAAAAACAUUCUCAGUUCAGAUUGCAGGCUGCAACCCGCCUGCAUGAAGAUGGAAUUGCUAGUAAUCGCGGAUCAGCAUGCCGCGGUGAAUACGUUCCC